AUUGAACGCUGGCGGCAUGCCUUACACAUGCAAGUCGAACGGUAACAGGUCUUCGGAUGCUGACGAGUGGCGAACGGGUGAGUAAUACAUCGGAACGUGCCUAGUAGUGGGGGAUAACUACUCGAAAGAGUGGCUAAUACCGCAUGAGAUCUACGGAUGAAAGCAGGGGAUCGCAAGACCUUGUGCUACUAGAGCGGCUGAUGGCAGAUUAGGUAGUUGGUGGGAUAAAAGCUUACCAAGCCGACGAUCUGUAGCUGGUCUGAGAGGACGAUCAGCCACACUGGGACUGAGACACGGCCCAGACUCCUACGGGAGGCAGCAGUGGGGAAUUUUGGACAAUGGGCGCAAGCCUGAUCCAGCAAUGCCGCGUGCAGGACGAAGGCCUUCGGGUUGUAAACUGCUUUUGUACGGAACGAAAAGCCCUGGGUUAAUACCCUGGGGUCAUGACGGUACCGUAAGAAUAAGCACCGGCUAACUACGUGCCAGCCGCCGCGGUAA
RNAcentral lists this ribosomal RNA (498 nucleotides) under uncultured bacterium. RNAcentral describes it as "partial 16S ribosomal RNA". It matches the Rfam family "Bacterial small subunit ribosomal RNA", at positions 30 to 523 of the family's 1533-position model. The record is from RNAcentral.